UCUAACCAAAAGAAAAAAAAAAGAAAUUCUCACCAAAUACUCAUAUCUCCAUUACUCUCCCACACCAACCACUAAACUCCCAUCCUGGGAGAGAUGCAACAAACUCAGAUCCAGGCGAGGAACCAAGCGGUGAUAGAUCUGUCGCAGCAGUCUCCACCAUCGAGUCUCUCCGUUUAGAGAAUUGCCGUCUUCGUCUGGCCAGCGUCGCUGCCGACCCACCGUCCUCUUCUCCGAGCUUUGUUGUUUCGCCGUCCUUUUCUCCAACCCUCCCCUUCGUGGCUUGCUGCUCCUCGUUAACAUCAUCUCCCUCUGCACUACCAUAGUCUCUCUUUAUGCUUCUUCUCUCCUUCUUCUGCUGCUGCCUCCUCUUCGUCUCUCUGCUCCUCCUCCUGCCUUCCUCCUCUGCUUUGUUCUACUGCCUCCUCCUCUCUCCCGUUUUUUCUAUUGAUCUUCUCAAAUGAGAACAACAAUACCACGCUCUCAUUCCAGUAUUUAUGCGUAUUAUCAAGUUCUAAAUACUAAAGUUAGGUAAUGUUUGCUUGGAUUUUACCUCUUGAUCAAUCAACUCUUUAUUGGGAAUCCAUUUUUCAGUAAUUUUUUUUAUAGAACCUUGCAACUGAACUUGGGAUUGAAUUUUGCUCUUCGGUGAGUCACACACUCUUUAAUUUUUGAUUGUUACGGAAACGUGUGAUAGGAGAAUUUAGAUCUAGAAAUGUGCCUUCAAACUUGGUAAGUUUCAACUUCUCUUUUUUUUUUUAAAUUUAUUUUACAAUCAAUAAUUAGUUUAAAUCCUUUGAAUUUAAGGCUGUACUAUUAAGGAGUGCAAUUGGGUUCUCCUCCAGUUGAUUUUUAUGUGCAGAUUGACACUGGCAGUGAUAUUUUCUGUAUUAGCUACAACUUUUUGGAUGGUUGUUCCCAAACAAGAGGUCUCUUAUGAAUUAUUUUAGUGAUAUUAUCUUAAGUUAUAAUUACACCAAGUUUUAUUUAAAUAAUAUGAUUUUUAUUUCUAUUUUAAUUCAUUUUUUUCGUUAACUAUGUUUUUAUAUUUUUAUGUUUUUAUAUUUUUAUGCCCACACGAUGUAAUUGUUGUGUAUGUAAACUAA
Long non-coding RNA from Arachis duranensis, 1103 nucleotides. RefSeq lists it as uncharacterized. Lineage: Eukaryota; Viridiplantae; Streptophyta; Magnoliopsida; Fabales; Fabaceae. The transcript is spliced from 3 exons. The record is from RefSeq and is a predicted model, not a curated record.